AAUUACAGAUAUUGCCUCUUAUCUUAUCACAAUUUACCGGUAUUUGUGCAAGAUUUACAGAAAUGAAAGUAAGUUGUGACCUAUCAUGUGAGUUGAACACAGUGGCGCAGACUUCCUGCAGUAUCCUCCCCCUGUGCUACUGGCAGCAGAAACCAGCUUGGGCAGAAACAGUCAUGUCAGUGGCAGUACUUCUAGUGGCAGGACUUAUUGUAGAUAUACACAAUUUCUCAUGAACAGGUGCGGUCCAGCAAAGUGAAAGUGAAAGUAACGUAUUUCCCCUAAAUGAAGUCAAAGACUGCUUUGCAAAUAAAUUUGCUGCAACUGCAAAUACAUUCUGUUUCAAUGAAGAUUGUGAGAGCAAAAAGCUGAAGAAUGCCAUUGUUCCAUGUCUGCUACUCGGCUAUGAUCUUAUUUACCAAGACUCUUCUUACCAGUUAAAGGGAGAUUCCAAUGUCAGACGUAUGGCUCAUUGUGCUGUCGAAAAAUGUGCAGAGGGACUGAUAACGAGCCAUGGAACCAUGGGAUUCCUCUCAGGUUGGGGGGAUUCUGUCUACUCUUGUCUUGUUGCCAUGAGCAACUGUGUGAAAACUGAACCCAAAUUCAAGCUCAAAACUGAAUUUUGAUUUAUUAAGCCAUUACAUCACAGUGUUUGUAUUCUGUCAUUGUACUAAAUUUGUAUGCCACUGCAUGACUUUUCUAUAGGUUUCAUUGGUCUGUAGGUGUUAAUGACAUUUUGGAGUUUUUCUGUGUUUUUCCCUGUAUAAAAUGAUUAGUUGAUACUGACAUGAUCAGAACAUAUUCCCUCAGGUAUUCUGAUGCUGAAAAAUAUCAAAUGAAAUUGUGUCAGAGUCAGCCAAUAGAAUUCACCAUUAAUGUAUGAAAACCAUAACAAAAUGCAUUUCAGUGAAGUGAUACACUGUGUGAUUCACUUUGAGUGAGACUGUAUGAAAUAUGAGUGGACACUAGAUGGCGCUCUAUUUCUCCAAAUGAACAGAGUGAUUCUGAAUGGUCCUGGAAAUUGGUUGCAAGAAAUUAAAGAAGUUUCUAUUAAGGGUAAAGCACAUGACUUGGGUCUCUUUAAGUUCUUUCCAAUAAGUUUUGCUGGCCUUUUGAGUA
Long non-coding RNA from Alosa sapidissima (American shad), 1116 nucleotides. RefSeq lists it as uncharacterized. The record is from RefSeq and is a predicted model, not a curated record. Lineage: Eukaryota; Metazoa; Chordata; Actinopteri; Clupeiformes; Clupeidae. The transcript has 7 exons.